AAAAAUAAUAUGCAUAAAAAGAGGAGGCCGGGCUAGCUUAAGGCUUACGCCUCUCCGUCGACUAAGACUCUACGUGCCUGGCCUUAACAUCUUUCUCCAAACUCUCACCGUCCUAGUGCUCAUAACAAAGGUGAACUGACCGCCGGCCGGCCGGCUUCUACAAGCUUGUGUUUGCAGGUUUACAGGAUGAGUUGUUUUCCGGCAAAGGUGAUGGCAACAGUAAUAGUAGCAGUAUUCCUUCUUGUGGGUGAUAUUCCAGCAACUUCUGCAUCACUUCCUUACGGUGGUCGAAAGAGAUUAUGGCUUGAUGGCUCGACGAAGAUAGUACCAAGAUUGCAAGGCAGCUUUGAAGGUCUGAGCGUUAGUAGUAAGAAAAUAGUUUCCUUCCGGAGCCUACGAGCAGGAGGUAUAAAGUUGCCACCUUCACCCGUCCAUAACCCACGAAAAUCUUGGGAUCUGCCUGCACCUCCGCCUCAGAUUCUAUGAUUAUAUAUGUUUCUGACUUUGUUCUCUGGAUGUGAUUCCCAAAAGGAAAGUCAUGUUCAAACUUGGCGACUCAAAAACAAGCCAAUUUCUUUCUUUCUUUCUUCUUCUUCUCUCUUUUUUUUUUUUUUUUUUUUUUUUUGGAGGUGCUUUGUUAAAAUAUUAACGAGGCAAUUUGAGGUGUUUCAGUCUAUGUAAUUUACGUACUUGAUUGAUUUAGAUAUGUGCAUGAUGGUCUUUUUCUA
Alnus glutinosa is the source of this 728-nucleotide RNA transcript. RefSeq lists it as uncharacterized. The record is from RefSeq and is a predicted model, not a curated record. The transcript is spliced from 2 exons. Lineage: Eukaryota; Viridiplantae; Streptophyta; Magnoliopsida; Fagales; Betulaceae.